UACGUAGGGGGCAAGCGUCAUCCGGAUUUACUGGGUGUAAAGGGAGCGUAGACGGUUAUGCAAGUCAGAAGUGAAAGCCCAAAGCUCAACUUCGGGACUGCUUUUGAAACUGUGUAACUAGAGUGCAGGAGGGGUAAGCGGAAUUCCUAGUGUAGCGGUGAAAUGCGUAGAUAUUAGGAGGAACACCGGCGGCGAAGGCGGCUUACUGGACUGUAACUGACGUUGAGGCUCGAAAGCGUGGGGAGCAAACAGG
RNAcentral lists this ribosomal RNA (253 nucleotides) under uncultured bacterium. RNAcentral's name for it is "partial 16S ribosomal RNA". It matches the Rfam family "Bacterial small subunit ribosomal RNA", at positions 524 to 776 of the family's 1533-position model. The record is from RNAcentral.